RNAcentral lists this ribosomal RNA (372 nucleotides) under uncultured organism. Its description in RNAcentral is "bacterial SSU rRNA". It matches the Rfam family "Bacterial small subunit ribosomal RNA", at positions 526 to 896 of the family's 1533-position model. The record is from RNAcentral.
CAGAGACUGCAAGCGUUAUUCGGAUUCACUGGGCGUAAAGGGUGCGCAGGCGGUCGUGUGUGUCAGGUGUGAAAUCCCGGAGCUUAACUCCGGAACUGCGCCUGAAACUACACGACUAGAGCAUUGGAGAGGGAAGUGGAAUUCAUGGUGUAGCAGUGAAAUGCGUAGAUAUCAUGAGGAACACCAGAGGCGAAGGCGACUUCCUGGACAAUUGCUGACGCUCAGGCACGAAAGCAUGGGGAGCAAAAGGGAUUAGAUACCCCUGUAGUCCAUGCCCUAAACGGUGCACACUAGGUCUUGGAGGAUUCGACCCCUUCAGGGCCCAAGCUAACGCGUUAAGUGUGCCGCCUGAGGACUACGGUCGCAAGACUA